Molecule: ribosomal RNA, 492 nt
Filed under: uncultured bacterium
Lineage: Bacteria
Description: partial 16S ribosomal RNA
Rfam family: Bacterial small subunit ribosomal RNA
Source: RNAcentral
AGUGAACGCUGGCGGUAGGCCUAACACAUGCAAGUCGAACGGCAGCACAGUAAGAGCUUGCUCUUACGGGUGGCGAGUGGCGGACGGGUGAGGAAUACAUCGUAAUCUACUUUUUCGUGGGGGAUAACGUAGGUAAACUUACGCUAAUACCGCAUACGACCUACGGGUGAAAGCAUGGGAUCUUCGGACCUUGCGCGAUUGAAUGAGCCGAUGUCGGAUUAGCUAGUUGGCGGGGUAAAGGCCCACCAAGGCGACGAUCCGUAGCUGGUCUGAGAGGAUGGUCAGCCACACUGGAACGGAGACACGGUCCAGACUCCUACGGGAGGCAGCAGUGGGGAAUAUUGGACAAUGGGCGCAAGCCUGACACAGCCAUACCGCGUGGGUGAAGAAGGCCUUCGGGUUGUAAAGACCUUUUGUUGGGAAAGAAAAGCAGCAGGUUAAUACCCCGCUGUUCUGACGGUACCCAAAGAAUAAGCACCGGCUAACUUCGUG